Armigeres subalbatus is the source of this 378-nucleotide long non-coding RNA. RefSeq lists it as uncharacterized. NCBI's taxonomy places the organism in Eukaryota, Metazoa, Arthropoda, Insecta, Diptera, Culicidae. The transcript has 3 exons. The record is from RefSeq and is a predicted model, not a curated record.
GUCUAGAAUUUAUUAUAAGCAUUUUAAAAUGAUCUCCCUAUGCUGAGCUGUAGGAUCUGUCAAAGUUAACACCGUCGUGUGUCUUCUUCUUAUUUUUACUUGGAUUCGUCUAUAGGCGAAUAUGGGAAAGGAACAAACAAAAACAAACCAGAAAGUUGAAUUGAAUGAAUGCAGUGUAAAUAGCUUAUUAUAAAUUCUUGCUAAAACCAGUGUUUUAAGGAGAGAUAGCCGGAGAAAUCGUUGAGAAACGUAGAAAUUCCGAAGAUUUGCCUAACACUUCCCAGUAGCAUUAUACUGCCCGAACCGUUAGUUUACGCUAGUUUGUACGGUGAUCUGCUUGAAAGUGCAGUAGAAGAAAAGGAAGAAGUCGAAACGGAU